Cyprinus carpio carpio is the source of this 855-nucleotide long non-coding RNA. The record is from Ensembl. Lineage: Eukaryota; Metazoa; Chordata; Actinopteri; Cypriniformes; Cyprinidae.
GCCAGGCCCGUGUAGGAGAACAGGGACCGGCCGUAAUGGCUCCACCGGCAGCCAAGGUGGAUCAGACAGUUCAGGGGGCCAGGGUUGACCCAAAAGUUCAGGGGACCACGAGGGACCAGACAGUUCAGGUGGCCAGGGUGGACCCGAAAGUUCAGGGGACCACGAGGGACCCGGCAGUUCAGGUGGCCACGGAGGAUCAGUCCAUCUUAGUUGUGCAGACGGCCAGGGAGGAACUCGCCACUUGAGCGACCAGAGCGGAACCUGCCCUUCCGGUGUCCCAGUGGAGACGUGAAGGUGCUCUGGACGGCCUGUGGAGACGUGAAGGUGCUCUGGACGGCCUGUGGAGACGUGAAGGUGUUCUGGACGGCCUGUGGAGACGUGAAGGUGCUCUGGACGGCCUGUGGAGACGUGAAGGUGCUCUGGACGGCCUGUGGAGACGUGAAGGUGUUCUGGACGGCCUGUGGAGACGUGAAGUACCUCGACCUCGGGAACCAUCUCGGGCACCGCAACGGACAGCGCCUCGGGCACCGCAUCGGGAAUGGCCUCGGACCCUGCCUCGGGCACCGCAUCGGGAACGGCCUCCGCAUCGGGCACCGCCUCGGCCAUUGCAUCGGGCACCGCCUCGACCUCGGGCACCGCCUCAGUCUCGGGCAUUACAUCGGGAACCGUCUCUGGCACCGUCUCUGGCACCGCAUCGGGCACCGCCUCGGCAUCGGGCACCGUCUCGGCAUCGGGCACCGUCUCUGCAUCGGGCACCGCCUCGGCAUCGGGCACCGCCUCGGGCACCGCCUCGGCAUCGGGCACUGCCUCGGCAUCGGGCACCGCCUCGGCCACCGCCUCGGGCACCGCCUCGGC